This 497-nucleotide ribosomal RNA is filed under the name uncultured bacterium. RNAcentral's name for it is "partial 16S ribosomal RNA". It matches the Rfam family "Bacterial small subunit ribosomal RNA", at positions 28 to 507 of the family's 1533-position model. The record is from RNAcentral.
GAUGAACGCUGGCGGCGUGCCUAAUACAUGCAAGUCGAGCGAACAGACGCGGAGCUUGCUCCUCUGACGUUAGCGGCGGACGGGUGAGUAACACGUGGAUAACCUACCUGUCAGACUGGGAUAACUUCGAGAAACCGGCGCUAAUACCGUAUAAUAUCUUGAACCGCAUGGUUCAAUAGUGAAAGACGGUGUUGCUGUCACUUCUAGAUGGAUCCGCGCCGCAUUAGCUAGUUGGUAAGGUAACGGCUUACCAAGGCGACCAGGCGUAGGCGACCUGUGAGGGUGAUCGGCGACACUGGAACGGAGCCAGGGUCCAGACGCCUACGGGAGGCAGCAGUAGGGAAUCGUCCGCAAUGGGCGAAAGCCUGACGGAGCAACGCCGCGUGAGUGAUGAAGGUCUUCGGAUCGUAAUACUCUGUUAUGAGUGAAGAACAAAUGUGUAAGGAACUAUGCACGUCGUGACGGUACCGAAUCAGAAAGCACCGGCUAACUACGUG